This 253-nucleotide ribosomal RNA is filed under the name uncultured bacterium. RNAcentral's name for it is "partial 16S ribosomal RNA". It matches the Rfam family "Bacterial small subunit ribosomal RNA", at positions 524 to 776 of the family's 1533-position model. The record is from RNAcentral.
UACGGAGGGUGCAAGCGUUAAUCGGAAUUACUGGGCGUAAAGCGUGCGCAGGCGGUUUUGUAAGACAGAUGUGAAAUCCCCGGGCUUAACCUGGGAACUGCGUUUGUGACUGCAAGGCUAGAGUACGGCAGAGGGGGGUGGAAUUCCUGGUGUAGCAGUGAAAUGCGUAGAUAUCAGGAGGAACACCGAUGGCGAAGGCAGCCCCCUGGGCCUGUACUGACGCUCAUGCACGAAAGCGUGGGGAGCAAACAGG